GACGAACGCUGGCGGCGUGCCUAAUACAUGCAAGUUGAGCGCUGAAGGUUGGUACUUGUACCAACUGGAUGAGCAGCGAGCGGGUGAGUAACGCGUGGGGAAUCUGCCUUUGAGCGGGGGACAACAUUUGGAAACGAAUGCUAAUACCGCAUAAAAACUUUAAACACAAGUUUUAAGUUUGAAAGAUGCAAUUGCAUCACUCAAAGAUGAUCCCGCGUUGUAUUAGCUAGUUGGUGAGGUAAAGGCUCACCAAGGCGAUGAUACAUAGCCGACCUGAGAGGGUGCUCGGCCACAUUGGGACUGAGACACGGCCCAAACUCCUACGGGAGGCAGCAGUAGGGAAUCUUCGGCAAUAGACGAAAGUCUGACCGAGCAACGCCGCGUGAGUGCAGAAGGUUUUCGGAUCGUAAAACUCUGUUGGUAGAGAAGAACGUUGGUGAGAGUGGAAAGCUCAUCAAGUGACGGUAACUACCCAGAAAGGGACGGCUAACUACGUG
Molecule: ribosomal RNA, 497 nt
Filed under: uncultured bacterium
Lineage: Bacteria
Description: partial 16S ribosomal RNA
Rfam family: Bacterial small subunit ribosomal RNA
Source: RNAcentral